This 12643-nucleotide long non-coding RNA is filed under the name Equus asinus (donkey). RNAcentral's name for it is "lncRNA (ENSEASG00005030173.1)". Lineage: Eukaryota; Metazoa; Chordata; Mammalia; Perissodactyla; Equidae. The record is from RNAcentral.
GGGGAGAGUCGGGUUAUCUGUUAUUUGUAUAAAUUAAGCCUCAAAACUCAGGCGUUUGCAUGGAUCAUCGCUGCAGUUUGUUCUGAAUUGCACUUCAUCUUGUCCAUGAAAUGUGAGCUUUUUGUUUGAUGUGGUGUGAAUUGAUAACUCACGCGAGUAAUUAAUGAGCCUACUUGUUUUCUCCUAGGACAGAAUGACUUGGAAGAUGAUGGAGCUGCUCAGUCAAGCGGAAUGUGAAGUCUUUCCUCUUCAGCUCUGUGGAUUGCAUUUAAGAAGAAACCUUAAGUGGCUCCUUCUGGCCGAUGAUGGAUGAAGACCAGGUUCUUCUGCUCGGAUUCCAAAGCCCCGUGUAAUCUGACCCCAACCUACCGCAUCUAAGCGUGUUCCCCACACUCUCACUAGACGUCGUGGAACGUCUCUUCAAGGCACUGGCCUGGGUUCCAGGGGAAUCAAAACACGAGGAAGCUCCAGCACACCACUAGAGCAUCAAGCCCGGCUGUGGCCAUCUGAGGGCCACCAGGAUGAUGGAGAAGGGAUGACCCAAUCCCCCGGCUGGGCUUGCGUGUUUUCCUCUUGGAUGAAAGGAUGCUAAGUAUUAGGUUUGGCUGCCCCGCACCCCCACCAAGGCCCCGAAAUGGUCUGGGGUGGGAUCAGUCUCAUACUCACCAUACUCUGGGCUGGAACUUGCUCUAAGAUGGGAACUGUGUCUUUAUGUUUCCAGAGACUUGUGCCGUGCCUGGCUCAGAGUACACACCUAUUGGCUGAUGAAUAAGGAAUAAAUGAAUGUGUGCCGUUUAAGCAAAUGGAAGAUGCAAUGGCUUCUGGCUCUCAAUAUCACACUAUUUUUAUGGAAAUGUUGCAGUAGAAGAAUGUUUCAGCUCACAGAAGAAAAUUCAACCUGAUUUGCAUGGUAUUGUAACAUGGAGAUGAAAUUUCCCCACUUGCCUUAACUACUGGUGGAAACUCCUACAGCCAGCAACGAACUUUGCUUGUUCCCUUCCUGUGACCCUUAUCAGUCUGUCUGGUAAGAUACAUAGUUGUGCGCAUCUUAUCACAUCUUAGACUGCUUUCAUAUUUACUGGUUCUUUAUGUAAAUGUUUUCUUCAGCCCUUGCUUUGAAGGUCAGGAGACUUGGAUUUGAAUGCUGGCUUCACUACUACUAGCCGUGAAAAGUUGGACAAGUUAUUUCCUCUCCCUUAGCUUUAGUUGUCGCAGCUGCAAAAUAGGGAGAAUAACGUUUCUGCCUCCAUGGGUUGAUUGAAGAUAAAUGAGACACCACUUGUGACAUGCUCAGCAUGAUGGCUGGCUCAUCGUAACAACCGAGAAGUGUCAUCUGUCAUUAGUCAUGAUACUCUUGGUAGAACCAAGAUUUCACCCUAGAUCUUUCCUCCUCAGGGAGGAACUCUGAGUGUCUGCUCUCAGCCCAACUCUAAUUGUACUGCUGAAGCCCAAGCUCCCUCUCCCAGGGCCGCAGAUGCUUCAGGUCUGCAGCCUUGCCACAGCGUCACUCUGCUCUGCUACUUUUCCAUGUCACGGAGUCAGUGCAAUGUGCCGAUAGAUUUGUAUAAUGAAGACUUGAGUCCCUUGAAUGACUCAAGUUCUUGUAUUAGGAAGAUUAAGCUAACCUCAGGCUGUUCCUAACCUCUCUUCCCCAUUCUCUCUUCCCCAUCCUCAGCCCCUCAGGAGGUCCAGAUGGAAAAAUGUGUUAUUGUCCAUCCAACAACAAAUAUUUCUGAGCGAUGACUUUGCUCAAGAUACCACGCUGAGCCCAUGGCAUUUAAACAGGAGAGUGAGGCACAGUCUUUGCCUUUCAGGACCCUACGGUCCAUGUUGCCAAGAUGGGGUGCAGUGUUAAAAGGCAGCUGACAACACUGGAGGGUUCUAAGUGUUAACGGGGUGGUGCAAAGGAAAAUAGGGUUGAAGGAAAGGAAAGAUCAAUGUAGCUGGAAGAGUCAGGUCUGGGGCUGAUGGCCCUUGGCCUCAAGCAAGACCCUGAAGAGGAAUUUGCUGUCUUGGUGUUCUCCAUGUUGGAGAAAAGAAUACUUCCUUUGUUGAUUGACUCUAGUAGGGAUUAAAGAAGAUUUAUACCAAAUUGAAACAAGCAAAAUCUGGAAGUGAGCUCAAGAAGGUGCAGUGAUUUAUGAAUCUCACCUUGAGAUCUUCAUUUUAAAGAUGAUCAGCAUGAGCAGGCCUUGCCUGAAGGCAAAUAUUAACUAGUCUAAUUAUUGGACCUAAAAAGCAAUUCCAGUCUUGAUGAUGUUUGUAUCCUAUUUUACACAAAGACUAGAUGCACUAAAUCUAUAGCUCUUUCUUUCGACAUCAAGAGUCUGCGUAAAAAUGUUGGCUUUAAUAAUAUUUUUAUUAAAAUUACAUAAACACAGAAAAAUUCACUGGUCAUAAAGUACAGCUUUGUGCAUUUACUCCAGUGGACACACCUGUGUAACCACGGUUCAGUUCAAGAAAGAGAACAUUUCUCUCCCAUGCUCCCUCAUAGUCAUCAAAGGUAACCACUUUCCUGACUCCUACAGCAUCGAUUGCUUUCACCUGUUUUUGAACUUUAUGUAAAUGGAACCACCCAGUACCUAUCAUUUUACGUCCAGUUUCUUCCUCCCAACAUCACAUCUGUAAGAUUCACAUGGGAGUUGAUUCACUUGCUGUGCUGUAUCGUAUUCCAUAAUAUGAGUACAGCACAUUUUGUUUAUCCAUUCUACUGUUGAGGGACAUUUGAGUUGUUCCUUCUUUGGGCUAUUAUAAGUAAUGAUGCCAUAAACAUUCUUAUGCCUACACUGUGCACAUUUAGGUGCAUUUUUAUUUGUUAUAUACCCUGGAGUAGAAUGACUGGAUCAUAGAGUAUGCAUCUAUUCCAUUUUCGUAGUUAUCAUCAAAAAGCUUUUCCAAAGUGAUUGCAUGAAUUCACAUUCCCACCAGCAAUUUAUGAGACUUACACACAUCCUUGUCGACACUUGAGAUUAUCGUCUUUUAGUUUUAGCCAUUUGGAAGGUAGGUAGUAGGGUCUCUUGGUGGUCUUAGUUUUUAUUUCCCUGAUGGUGGAGAUCGAGCAUCUUUUUGCAUGUGUAUCAGCUAUUUGGAUAUCUUCUUUUGGAUAAUAACUGUUCCAAUUUUUUGCCCAUUUUUUAAUUGCAGUGACUGAUUUUUCAUUAAUUGAAUUGUCAGAGUUCUAUACAUAUUCUGCAUGUAUAUGGAUUUGCCAGAACUUCAUAGAGUCUAGUUAUUGCAGAUGUCUUCUCUCUGGCAGUCUUGGCAGCUUAGUGGUUGGCGAAGGCCUAAAGGGAAAAGGAAGAUGAAUUUUGGGCUCCCUUCUCCAAAAUUCCUUUUUCUCAGGGAUUUCGGUCCAAGACCUUGGUGUCUGGGUGGCCUUUUAAUGACUCCCAAACAUGUGAGUGUGUGUGUGCCUAAUAUUUUAUGCAGAUUUCCUCCUAGUUUUUUGCAUCAGAAGGGUUGUUCUAAUAUAAGCUUUUCCUCCAUCUCCAGAAGCAUAAGGUUAAGAACAAGACUGGUCAUUUUGGGCAUUUCAAAGGAAAACUGUAGCAUGGAGAAGCAUGUGUGAAAUCCUAAGGGCAAUCACCUCAACAUUUCACACACACACACACACACCUUUCCUGGGCUUGGGCUGAGGUGGGGUGGAGCUGGGACAAGGAAAGGAUGAGAAAAGUUUAGCCAGUUGCUGUGCAGGGUUCUGCUCUCUGACCCUCGGGCCUCUCCCCAGGAGAGGGAGUUAAAAUAAAUUAGAGAAAAGUUUGGGGGUCCCAAAACAGUGUCUUUAUACCCCAAGAAUUUGGGCCUCUUGAGAAGCCCCCAUCCAAUGGAACAGCGAAUUAAAAAAAAAACGCCAGUGCUAGACUGAGAGCCAGCGAACAGCUCUCAGGUCCUGUGUACCCAAGGGCCCCAGCACCAUGGGAGAGGGCCUUCCAAAACCUGCCUACUCCCCAAAGCAAGGCACACAGCUAGGCUGAAAAUGGGCCAGCAGACUGGAGGCAGCCUCCGGGUUGAGAUAAGGAGGGCACAGCCUAUGGGAGUCCUAUUGAUGGGAGCCCAUGGCCUGCCUGGUGGUAGCAGCAUUUGCUAUAAAGACCUAGGUUGAUGCCCAAGUCCAGGCAAGAUGGACUCAGGGAGGCCUGGGGCAAGUACGCCCAUCAAAUGUCCCUCCUGACAGGCUGGCUUUGCCCUGGUUCUUAAGAACACCUCGCCCGCCCCACACCCAGCCUCCUCCUGGAACUUACUUCAGGUCUAGAGAGAAGAAGAAAAGGAGCAAGGAUCUGAGGAGAAGCCUGAAUUAACAAAAUAAGCAUCUAAAGGAGACCAACUUUGAAACUGGAGGGGACUGAAUCUCUUGGGUGAUGAGAUUUAAUAUCCCAUUAUUGUUGUGGGUGGAAUUGUGUCUCCUCAAAAGAUAUGUUGAUGUCCUAACUCCUGGUACCUGUGAAUGUGACCUUAUUUGGAAAUAAGGUCUUUGCAGAUGUAGCCAAGUUCCGAUGAGGUCAUUAGGGAGGGCCCUAAUCCAAUAUGACUGGGUCCUUAUAAGAAGAGACGAGACGCAGACACAGAGACCCACAGGGAGAACACCAUAUGAUGACAGAGGCAGAGAUUGGAGCCAUACGUCUACGAGUCAAGGACCGCCAAGGAUGACAGGCAGCCACCAGAAGCAAAGAGAAAGGCAGGGAACAGAUCCUCCACUAGAGCCUUAAUGGGUUUCAUGACCCUGCUGACACUUAGAUUGCAGACUUCCAGCCUCCAGAACUAGGAGACAAUACAUUUCUGUUGUUUAAAGCCACCUAGUUGCGGGGGGUGGGGGGGUCCUUUGUUAUGGCAGCCUAACACCAUGGCUACAACCACUAACUGGGAGCUGCUGAACUAAGCUGAGUUCAAUUAUGGAAAAGGAAGGGCAAGUCUCUGUAACUGUCCCCAAGUUUUAUAUUACACUCAGACUUUGAGUCUAUAAUUCCCCUCAAAGGUAGCCUUUCAUGUCACCUUUGGAUCGGGUGACCCUGUGUCCUCAGGGUGCGGAUCUGCCUCUCUCCGUGGAGGAGUUCCCCAAGUUUACGUCUGCACCAGUGUCAACUGCCUUCUGUCCGUCAACACAGCGAGUGUCAGAAGGCUUUUGUUUUUCUGGUUCCAGUCUCAUUAAGCUGGGCUGAACUAGCCUGACUCAGAAUUUCUACCGACUGAGGAAACAGAUACGGUUUACAACCAUGUGUACUUUGCAGUAAAAAAUAACUCCGGCCAAGGUUUCAUCAGGAAGAGACUUGCUGAAGUUACUCAGUGCCAUUACGGUGUUUUCUCCUGUGACAGUGCACCAUCAAGCUCGGCCUGUAGGGAUGAUUGAAGGGCUCUGGGGAGGUUCCUCAGUUAAAUUGCCCUUAUUGCUUCUACGUGUCUGAGGUUCCAUUAUGUAUCAUCAUUCCUUUGGUUCUCGAAGGUGCUGUCCAUUUUCCAGUUAAGGCACAAAUAUCUCCUGAGAAAGUUCACACUUCAGCUCUUAGCACCAGCCAACAGUUUAUUGCUGUUUUCUGUCCUGGAACCUAGAAGAGCCGCUGAGGGUUUAACACGGACGGCCACGGCUGGCUUCCCGGUUUGGCCCAGGGCUGGGUCACCAUCAUCCUCAACAGCCAAUCUUUAAUGACCAUCCACCUAGUAACAAUGACAAUUAACUUGGAAAUCUUGAACUGUAUUUUCAAAAUAAGAAGGAGUUCAUUAAUAAAAUGACGAGUCCUGUCUUCCCCAUCCACUCUGGGUCAGCCGGUCACUAGCUGUGUGACCACUGGCAGGUUGCUCCUCAUCUGUGAAAUGGGCUAAUAAUGUUACCUCCCUCCUGAGGAGGUUACAAGAUGCAAAGGAAAUAAAUUCUCUAAAGCGCGGAGCCCAGGGCUUAGCCCAGAGUAAACAGUCAGUGAAUGUUAGUGUAUCAUCAGUGUGUGAAUUUUCUCUCCCUAGGUUAGUGCAUAGUUGAGUUUCUUCAUGCUGUGUUGGUUUUGUGCUAAAAUCAUGUGUGUCAUUCCACAGAGUGAUCCAUAUGAAUUCAGAUAUUAGUCCAUCAAAAAGAGCAAUAAAGACCCCCUAUAUUGGCCAGAGCCCACAUGAUGCUUCCUAUUAUGUAUUCUUCAUAUUUGAAAAUACACAGAAGUAAAAUAAAGCAUCAGGAUAAAAGAAAUCCUGAAACUGUUUUUAAGCUUAUAUAACACGUAGAUAGUGUUUACUGUAUGCUUUAUAAAUAUGAACUCAUUUAAUCCCCAUACGAUUCCAUCAGGUAAAUUGUAUUAUCCCCAUUUUACACACGAGGAAACUGAGGCACUGGGGGUUAAGUCAUUUCCUGAGGUCACAAAGCUAGUGUAAGAAUUGGAACCAGGAUUUAAACCAGACAUUUAGACCCCAAGGGCUGUUAACUGUUAUCCUAUGCUGUGAGCAUGCGUGAACACACACACACACACACACACACACACAGGCUUCUCCUUCCAUUAUGCUUCCAUUCACUUUCCUUGAAAAUGUAAGAUGCUCAGAAUUUUAUAGACAUUCCUGAGUGUAAUCACGUCUGGGGGGAUGGAAAGUAAGAUGUCCAGGAAAGGAAGAGGAGUGGAUUUUUAAUAAAGAGGAGCCUCUGCUAAGGUGUAAUGGUUUCUGGGAGGCAGAGAGGGUUGAGCAAGAAUUGCCGCUUCUGAAGACUUCUGACAACAUUCCUUCUCUCCACCCUCAAAUGCAGAAGCCCAUGAACGUGAGACAGCCAGGAAGAGUUAUCAGUGGCCAGCUUCCAGAUGAAAGGAGAGAAGAGGAAAAAGGAGAUUUUCAGAACCCAGUUGUGUUAAACGUGGUAACAGAGGAGCCUAACAGUGAAGGAGGCAAAAAAGAUAAGAGGUUCCUGCCCCUGGGGGCAAGGCAUUCAGUUGCCACAUCAAUGCAUGGGCACAGCAAGGGAUGAACGCAGCUCUGCAGAGGCCACAGACGACCCACUGGGGUAGUGAGCAGCCCUGAAGUGCCAAUGCUGUUACAAGUCCUGGGCCAGUUACAACUACAAUCCCCGCCCCGUCCCUGGCCCACUGUCUAGUGGGGGAGGGGGUGACCAUGAGAGAGCAAAUAGUCAUACUGCUACGGAAGCACAGAGCUGGUUCCACGCAGACAGAUCCUGGAAGAUGUUCCCAGACAGACGCCAUGUCUGCCAGGUCCUGAAGUGGGAGAGGGCUCCCAGGAACUUGCUGCCAUUGGGCAGAACUGAUGGGGAUGGUGGGGGGAGGAAGGGAAGUUUGGAAACUCUUCAGGACGUAACAUGGAGAAGACUGGACACCAAAUGGUUGUGGGAGUGAAGGUCGGACAAGGUCAAAGGCGGCCCCGAGCCUCUUGGGAAACCAGGAUGUACUGACUGAGGAGCUGGUAGACAUUCUAACAGCAGGUCUCCGCCACCGCCCGCCCGUCAAUUGCCCCUCCAUUCACCUUGCCGUCCAGACGGUGCUGGGGAGACACAAAGCAUCUUGAGUACUUCCUCAUUACCUCAUGGCAGUGAAAAGAAGAUGGAUUUUCCACCGCCUACUUCCUUCUCCAGUGGGUAAACAUAGAGCGUCCUCAGCGUUUCUGCAAGAGCAGGAGUUUGAAAAAUGCAGUGAGCUCAAUCGUGCAAGCUCCUGAACAGACAGCUGGAAGACCCGUUUGUAUUUGGCCAAGUGAUCUUCAGAAAGGAGAGAUGUGGCCUUCCUCAAAAAGGCUAUCUUCUACAAAUCUCGACUUCCCCAAAAUUAGCCUGACCCACUGGCGGAGUUGCCUGCCUGUGUUGGGGAGAUGGCUAGACUUGAGUCAGUGUGGUCUUUUUUGUUUUUUUGCUGAGGAAGAUUUUCCCUGAGCUAACAUCCAUGCCAAUCUUCCCCUAUUUUUUUUUUUUUUUUUUUUUAGUAUGUGGGCUGCCAGCACAGGAUGGCUGCUAGCAUAUUGGUGUAGGUCCAUCCCUGGGAACCAAACCUGGGCCACCAAAGCAGAGUGUGCUGAACUUAACCACUAGGCCACCGGGGCUGGCCCAGUGCAGUCUUUACCUGUUUACUAGAUCCUGGGUGCUGGGAGGGAGACUGCGUGUAGCUUGGGAAUGUUACGGGGAGGAAGUAAUAGAAAAGCAUAACGUGGAAGUAACCAUUGCUAGAAUCCUCAUUUGCACCCACAAAUAGGCUGUAAAACUGCCUUUGAGCCCAUGGAGAUGGGUAUUAAACACAGUCAUUCUUCACUGGUAUUGCCAUCGUGUGCAUGUUUGUGUGCGCACAUGCGCGCGUCUAACGUCAUUUCUGCAGCUGGUGGGGCCCAGGCUGAGGCAGAGAGUUCACACAGCAGGAAGACUGUCUUGCCUCAGUCGCUUGGAAAAAGAGAAAAGAGGGCAGAAAGCCACAACUCAACAAAAAAGAAUCUUCUAAAAGCGAGAAAGACGUUUUAAGAGAGCUCUUUUGACGUAGAACUCAGGAAGGACAACUCGUUUGUUGAGGCCGUCGGCUCAGUGUCCUGCUACCAGAAAGCCCAGUGAAAUACUGCACAGUACUGGAAAGAUUUUGGAAACAAAAUUCAAUUCUGCAAACAUUACGAGGCAUCUUCUGUGCGCCAGAAAAUGUACUAAGUUCCUGGGGAUAAAAAGCUGAAUUGGGCAUGACCCUUUACUUCAAGGGGUUUGGAUCUGGGCAAUUUAAGUACGAAGACUGUGCAAGAGAAUAUGACACAAAUGGUUAUUUCUGGGGAGUGGGGUUACAGCUAAUAUUAUUUUUAACUUUUCAGAAAAUCAUAGGAUACUGUAGCUGAGUAGCUUGGUGGCUGUGAAGUGAGUGGCUGGUGAGGAGAGUGAAGCCGCCUCUUUUAACCUCCAUGCUCUUCUUGUCUUCCCCAGGAGGGGAGUUUGAAUUUAUCUCUGGGAGUAGAUUUGCCCGAAUUGGUUCUUUGGUUAUUCUACAGGAAGCCGAUCCUGCUUUAUAGUGAAGAUGACCCAGCUCUUCUUACUCAGUUCUCUUUGCUGACCCAACUACACCUUGUGAGGGUUCCGUCUCUUCUCAGUCUACAAUCUUGACCUCCAGUAUUUCAGCCAUGUCCGUGGCGGUCCAUUCCUUCUACAUGCCGAUCAUUUCUCGGUCCACAUCUCCAGGUCCAACCUCUGUUCUGAGCACUAGCCUCUUAGAUUCCCUGCAAACCUUUCCCAAAUAUACCCUCCAGUCUAUUCUCCACCCCUCAGCUGGACCGGUGCUGAAAACCCUUUAGAGGGUUCUCAUUGUUCUAAGGAUAAAAUCUAAAAUUCUUAACAUGCCUACAAAAGCAUGCAUGACUGGCUCUUAUUCGCUUCUCCGGGCGCAUCUCCUGUGGCUCUGGCCUUCCUCCCUUUCCUACAGUUGGCCCAGCUCUUGUGCACCCCGGAGCCUCAAAUCCACCAUUUUCUUUAUCUGGAAUCAUCCAACUCAAUCAUCCUUCAGAGCUCAGCUAAAAUGUUGCGUUCUUCAGGGGGCCCUCUCUAAUCCCUUAGAGCCAUGUCAACUCUCAUUAUAUGCUCUGUGUCUUUAGCAGAGACAUGGAGAAGAACGAUUUGUAAAACGAUCUGUUUACUAUCUAUCUCCUUCAGAUUGUAGCAAUUACAGAUUCCAGCCCUACGGCCUAACACAGUGCCAGUUGCUGAGUGACGCUCUGUAGAUGCACUAAUAAAUGAGUGAGAUUAGGAAUUAGGGGGCUGAUUUUCUCUUCCUAACAUAACAUGAAUGUUUAUUUUUGCUCUGAACAGAGCUGAGUGUCUGCAGAUUAUUUUUUGUUUAUUGGAGGAGGACUAAGGUUGACGGGGAGGAGAAACUUUUUUCUCUCUCCGCAAGGCCCUGGUAGCGUUGCAACCUGGACUCUGGUGGGGGCACACGCUGGUUCCCUCUCUGGGGCUCCUGCUAAGGAGAGAGAUGCCCAGAAACCUGUGGAUGGUUUUGCCUCUUUGGGACCAUUAUUUGGUUUUAAACGUUUUUCUUUUCCCUUCUGUAAGUCCCUUCUGUUUUCCCAAGCCUUCUGUUAAACGUUGACCCUCACGGCUUGGUCAGGGCUGUGCUGGGAGGAGCAAAGAGAGGCAAAGCUGUAGGGGACAACACAGAGACAACUUGCGGUCAAGGGAGUGGCAAUCAGGAAUGAAUGGCCAGCUGAGGGGACAAGUGCCAGCAGGGAGAGGGCUGUAGAAAUGAGAUUCUUCAUCUGGAAUGUGCAGGCGUAUUUCCGGAGGGAACUGGACACCGCCUGGACUCCAUGAAGUUCCAUAGUGUGCCGCCAUUGACUCAUUGCCUGUCAGCUCCAAAUCCAUCCUUUUUGCCUUCUCUGUAAAAAUGGAUCUGGGCCCUUUAUACCAUUUCCUCUGCCGGCUGGCAUGUUGUUAAGUCUCGUCCGUAGAGGGAGUGGGGAGACGGGGCAGGAGGCCAGAGCUCUGCCUGCUGGUUGCUUUGCUCUUGCAGCCGGCUCGGCAUUCUGGGCCGUGCCUCCAGCACUGGGAUCCUGCCAUGCAGGGCAGCCAGCAGCACCCAGUGGUCUCCAGCCAGCAUCUCCUGGCACCCUGCUCUUUGGGUGGUUUUGUGGUGAAGUGCUUCUGUGGGACACCUUUCCCCACACGCUAGACAGUAGAUUUGCAGUAAGUUCCACUGGCAUGAUACCACAGUGACAGAGGCUGCCAUAGUGAGCCAUGGCCAUGCUCUCCCAAAUGGAGUCUGGGUCUCAGCCCACGGAAGGGGGAGGCUCAUCCUUGGGUGCUCUUUCUUGGCUCUAAGGGUUAUGGCUGCUCCUUAAAUCUCCUAUUCCUAUUUUCUUUUGUAUUUUCUUUACUUCUUACUAGUCAAUCCCUCAUUGCUCCAAAGCCUGUUGUAGUUAAUAAUUUUUUUUGUGUGAGGAAGAUUUGUCCUGAGUUAACAUACAUUGCCAAUCCUCCUCUUUUUUUUUUCUUUCUUGAAGAAGAUCAGCCCUGAGCCAACAUCUGCACCAAUCUUCCUCCACUGUGUAUGUGGGAUGCCUCCACAGCAUGGCUGAUGAGUGGAGUAGGUCCACACCCAUGAUCCAAACCCAUGAACCUGGGCCGCCAAAGCAGAGCACACGGAACUUUAACCACGUGGCCGUGGGGCCAGACCCAAUCCUUCUUUAUAUUAAACUUUCACUGUUUAAGUACUGCGUGGUUUCUCUCUCCUGAUUGGACCUAGACUGAUACACACAGGAUGGGGCUCAGACUCUGAGCACUUGGCUGACAAGGGAAGGUGUCUCUAGAAGACUGAGGGAAUUGGAGACAUUUGGGCUGUAUGUAUUUUUCCGAGUUUGUGCAAUGAACAUAUGACUUACAUAUGCAGAAAAAAGAAAAAAAUUUAAAAGUUUGAAAAAACGCAAUACAAGAAGCAAAGGGGACAAAAACAUUCAAAAAGACCCACCCCAGUGCGGUAGGUGUGUGGCAGAAACAAGUUAUGUGCUAAGGGGGGAAGUGCCUUAGAGGAGGUGAUGCUUGAACUGAAUGUAAAGGGUGAGUGGCAGGGGGCACUUUCCCAGGCAGACACAUGUGUGCACUGGUGUGGACACAGGACCAGGGAGAGCCUAUGUCAUGGGAAGCGGUCAGUCACCAGCUCAGUGUGGACGGCGCCUGUGGCGGUCAAAGGUGGAGCACCAGGUCUGGGUGAUGACAGCAAAGCCUCAUGGCUUCAUUUAAAAACUAUGGGGUGGGUGGGAAAGUGGACUCCGUUUGCCUUUUGGACCGACCGCAGCUGUGAGAAUCUUCCUUGCAGAUCUUCGACCAUCUCCAGCUAUCCUGGAGCUUCACUGACCAAGGGCCCUGGCUGCUGUGCUCUGAAAUUCAUCUCUGGGUUUGUACGCAAGGCCACACUUCCCACCUGGCUGCUCCCAGCCAAUGACUGGGAGAGAUACCGAUACUAAGGCAGGUGGGUUCCAAAGAGAAUUGGGAGCCCAUGAUGAGCAACUGGAUGUAGGACUCCCCGAUGAUGUUCCCUAGACUGCAGGGAGGUUAGAAUGAUGGGGUCCCUCUCCUUUACUGGGGGCAGAGUUGCAUAAAGCCUGGCUCGCUCCCAUCCCUUCCUAUUUAAUCCCACAGUCAUUUCCCCUAAGAAAAUCCUUCCAGGCCCAGCCCUGUCUUGGCGCCUGCUUCUUGGAGGACCCACAUCAGCUCCUGGACUACGCCUUCCUUCCCUUCCCUCUCCUCUCCAGCGACAGCCUUUGUAUAGGCGAGGCCGGCGAUUGUGGGACACAGCCUUCAUUCCCGCGUCUCCUGGGCAUUCUCCCCCUUCUGUCAUCCAGGCCCUUGGCCUACUCAGGUUUCCCUAAUGAACCCUGCAGCUUCUCCAUCUGGAAAGUCCCAAUUCUCCUGGACUCCGGGUCACCAUCCGAGUGUCACCUCCAUCUCUGUCCUCUUCUCGGGACGGGAAGGAGAGACUCUCCUGCCUGCCGCAGGAGACUUCAGAUUCCGCCUGCUUCUGUCCUUGGUGGCACCCGAGGGAAGUCUCCGCUGUAAGCUCUUUGGGGAAGGGACUGGAUCCUAUUCACGCAUCGCAUGCACGAUGGCAGGCAGAGCGCCCAGCUCCUGGUAGGCGCUUCCUCAGCGCUUGUUGAGUUCUUGGUUUCCAUCAGUUGGGACGUCCCAAAGAAAGCGCAGGAGGCGGCGGUCGGAGCAGCAGGC